This 735-nucleotide ribosomal RNA is filed under the name uncultured bacterium. RNAcentral describes it as "bacterial SSU rRNA". It matches the Rfam family "Bacterial small subunit ribosomal RNA", at positions 102 to 857 of the family's 1533-position model. The record is from RNAcentral.
ACGGGUGAGUAACGCGUGGGUAACCUACCCUGUACACACGGAUAACAUACCGAAAGGUAUGCUAAUACGGGAUAAUAUAUUUGAGAGGCAUCUCUUAAAUAUCAAAGGUGAGCCAGUACAGGAUGGACCCGCGUCUGAUUAGCUAGUUGGUAAGGUAACGGCUUACCAAGGCGACGAUCAGUAGCCGACCUGAGAGGGUGAUCGGCCACAUUGGAACUGAGACACGGUCCAAACUCCUACGGGAGGCAGCAGUGGGGAAUAUUGCACAAUGGGCGAAAGCCUGAUGCAGCAACGCCGCGUGAGUGAUGAAGGCCUUCGGGUCGUAAAACUCUGUCCUCAAGGAAGAUAAUGACGGUACUUGAGGAGGAAGCCCCGGCUAACUACGUGCCAGCAGCCGCGGUAAUACGUAGGGGGCUAGCGUUAUCCGGAUUUACUGGGCGUAAAGGGUGCGUAGGCGGUCUUUCAAGUCAGGAGUGAAAGGCUACGGCUCAACCGUAGUAAGCUCUUGAAACUGGGAGACUUGAGUGCAGGAGAGGAGAGUGGAAUUCCUAGUGUAGCGGUGAAAUGCGUAGAUAUUAGGAGGAACACCAGUUGCGAAGGCGGCUCUCUGGACCGUAACUGACGCUGAGGCACGAAAGCGUGGGGAGCAAACAGGAUUAGAUACCCUGGUAGUCCACGCUGUAAACGAUGAGUACUAGGUGUCGGGGGUUACCCCCCUCGGUGCCGCAGCUAACG